UACGUAGGGGGCAAGCGUUGUCCGGAAUCAUUGGGCGUAAAGCGCGUGUAGGCGGUCCGGUAAGUCCGCUGUGAAAGUCGGGGGCUCAACCCUCGGAUGCCGGUGGAUACUGUCGGGCUUGAGUACGGAAGAGGCGAGUGGAAUUCCUGGUGUAGCGGUGAAAUGCGCAGAUAUCAGGAGGAACACCUAUUGCGAAGGCAGCUCGCUGGGACGUGACUGACGCUGAGACGCGAAAGCGUGGGGAGCAAACAGG
Molecule: ribosomal RNA, 253 nt
Filed under: uncultured bacterium
Lineage: Bacteria
Description: partial 16S ribosomal RNA
Rfam family: Bacterial small subunit ribosomal RNA
Source: RNAcentral